RNAcentral lists this long non-coding RNA (503 nucleotides) under Glycine max (soybean). Its description in RNAcentral is "long non-coding RNA (GMAX_LNC000730)". Lineage: Eukaryota; Viridiplantae; Streptophyta; Magnoliopsida; Fabales; Fabaceae. The record is from RNAcentral.
UUUGAUUUGGUUGUGAUGGUUCUUAUGAAUUGAAGUAAAGGAGGGCGUCUUAUGUUUGAAGUUGCCCGUAAAGUGAAGGAAUUUAUUUUCCUUCUCAAAAAAUAAUUUUUUUUCUUAACUUUCCCUCCUUUCAUACAUUUUUUUUCAUCUGACCCUUAGACAAUCUUACCUCGCUCCAUCUUUGGAGAUACGUUGUAACAUGGCAUAUCUGCAAGAACAUUUCUAUGAUAAAUAUGAUGUUAAAGUAAGGUCAUGUGUUUCAUGUUUGAGAAACUAUAGCCAACACACCAAUUUGGAUUUGUCUCAAACCAAUGUAACCUGUCAUUGUUCAUUAGAGCCUGUAUUAGACUUGUAAAUAUCUUGGUUUAUGUAGAUGACACUUUGGUCACAGAGCUCUCCUUAGCUCAUUCAAGAUCCGAUUGAUUUCUGCUAUCUAUAUAAUCUAUUUGUACUGAAAGACCUUAGUGAUCUUUAUUUAAUAUUUCUUUUGAAUAGAAGUCAAG